GAGCGGCGAACGGGUGAGUAACACGUGGGUAAUCUGCCCUGCACUCUGGGAUAAGCCUUGGAAACGAGGUCUAAUACCGGAUACGACUCUUGGUGGGCAUGCGNANGGGUGGAAAGUUCCGGCGGUGCAGGAUGAACCCGCGGCCUAUCAGCUUGUUGGUGGGGUAACUGCCUACCAAGGCGACGACGGGUAGCCGGCCUGAGAGGGCGACCGGCCACACUGGGACUGAGACACGGCCCAGACUCCUACGGGAGGCAGCAGUGGGGAAUAUUGCACAAUGGGCGAAAGCCUGAUGCAGCGACGCCGCGUGAGGGAUGACGGCCUUCGGGUUGUAAACCUCUUUCGCCAGGGACGAAGCGAGAGUGACGGUACCUGGAGAAGAAGCACCGGCUAACUACGUGCCAGCAGCCCGCGGUAAUACGUAGGGUGCGAGCGUUGUCCGGAAUUAUUGGGCGUAAAGAGCUCGUAGGCGGUUUGUUGCGUCGGCCGUGAAAACUUCACGCUUAACGUGGAGCUUGCGGUCGAUACGGGC
Molecule: ribosomal RNA, 532 nt
Filed under: Saccharothrix sp. 306G05
Lineage: Bacteria; Bacillati; Actinomycetota; Actinomycetes; Pseudonocardiales; Pseudonocardiaceae
Description: bacterial SSU rRNA
Rfam family: Bacterial small subunit ribosomal RNA
Source: RNAcentral